Molecule: long non-coding RNA, 739 nt
Organism: Cottoperca gobio
Lineage: Eukaryota; Metazoa; Chordata; Actinopteri; Perciformes; Bovichtidae
Exons: 4
Source: RefSeq, a predicted model, not a curated record
UGAAAUAUGUGGUCGGUUCCAUUUUCUUCUCAGUCCUCAUGUCACCACGAAAGGAGGAUUCAGUCUCUUUUUAUCAAAACGCAGCAGAAUUUAAAUAUGUUUUUCUGUUUAUCACUUCUAAUAUAUUCGACGGAUUUUUCCUGAGAGAUCUCUUGCGCACUUGUCAAUGUCUCAUCGUCACCUUCAUGCGCUUCAGCUGCUGUUGCGUGUGAAAGGAUCUAAACUUGAGAGGAUGUUCUACAACAGAAAACACUCCAUGUUUCAACACAAUACUGGCAAACUGCAAGAAGGGAUGCAGAUCACAACCGGUGUAGCAGUUGGGACACUUUUCUAAGGAAGUGUACACCCUCGGGGCUACUGCAGUUCCAACAAUAACUAUAUUAAUGACACAAAAAUGAAGUAUCUUCCGGAGUUCUUCUGUUUGAGGAGCGCUGUGUUGACGGGUUGGAAGCUCCAUUGAUGAUGUCUGGAGGCAGUGAGUAUAAACAGCACACAGACACAGAAGUAUGGGUACAAACCAUCAGAAUAUUCAUCCAAGACUUCCUGUUAUUUUCGUUAAUACAUCGAAUUCAUCCUUUGUGUGCUUUGGAUGAACGUUUCCCUUAUUGUAGGUCUAUUUAUUUGGAUAACACACUUUAUUUGAGCAUGUACUGUAUUGCCUAAUGUGACACCAAACAAGUCUACCUCAUAUUGUCUGAUUUCAUUCUAUGUGUGAAUAUUUUAAAAUUAUAAUAAAUAA